GACGGACGCUGGCGGCGUGCUUAACACAUGCAAGUCGAACGGAAAGGCCCUGCUUUUGUGGGGUGCUCGAGUGGCGAACGGGUGAGUAACACGUGAGUAACCUGCCCUUGACUUUGGGAUAACUUCAGGAAACUGGGGCUAAUACCGGAUAGGAGCUCCUGCUGCAUGGUGGGGGUUGGAAAGUUUCGGCGGUUGGGGAUGGACUCGCGGCUUAUCAGCUUGUUGGUGGGGUAGUGGCUUACCAAGGCUUUGACGGGUAGCCGGCCUGAGAGGGUGACCGGGCACAUUGGGACUGAGAUACGGCCCAGACUCCUACGGGAGGCAGCAGUGGGGAAUAUUGCACAAUGGGCGGAAGCCUGAUGCAGCAACGCCGCGUGCGGGAUGACGGCCUUCGGGUUGUAAACCGCUUUCGCCUGUGACGAAGCGUGAGUGACGGUAAUGGGUAAAGAAGCACCGGCUAACUACGUG
RNAcentral lists this ribosomal RNA (468 nucleotides) under uncultured bacterium. RNAcentral describes it as "partial 16S ribosomal RNA". It matches the Rfam family "Bacterial small subunit ribosomal RNA", at positions 28 to 507 of the family's 1533-position model. The record is from RNAcentral.